CCUUGCCCUGGUAGAGCACCAUGCUGCCCUGGCGGGCCAGCACGGCCUGGUCGCCUCCGGCGCCGAGGUC
Molecule: transfer RNA, 70 nt
Filed under: Streptomyces poonensis
Lineage: Bacteria; Bacillati; Actinomycetota; Actinomycetes; Kitasatosporales; Streptomycetaceae
Description: tRNA-Ala
Source: RNAcentral